Molecule: ribosomal RNA, 499 nt
Filed under: uncultured bacterium
Lineage: Bacteria
Description: bacterial SSU rRNA
Rfam family: Bacterial small subunit ribosomal RNA
Source: RNAcentral
AUUGAACGCUGGCGGAAUGCUUUACACAUGCAAGUCGAACGGCAGCACGGGGCAACCUGGUGGCGAGUGGCGAACGGGUGAGUAAUAUAUCGGAACGUGCCCAAUCGUGGGGGAUAACGUAGCGAAAGUUACGCUAAUACCGCAUACGAUCUACGGAUGAAAGCGGGGGAUCGCAAGACCUCGCGCGAGUGGAGCGGCCGAUGUCAGAUUAGGUAGUUGGUGGGGUAAAGGCUCACCAAGCCAACGAUCUGUAGCUGGUCUGAGAGGACGACCAGCCACACUGGAACUGAGACACGGUCCAGACUCCUACGGGAGGCAGCAGUGGGGAAUUUUGGACAAUGGGCGCAAGCCUGAUCCAGCCAUUCCGCGUGCAGGAUGAAGGCCUUCGGGUUGUAAACUGCUUUGUACGGAACGAAACGGCGAGCUCUAAUACAGUUUGCUAAUGACGGUACCGUAAGAAUAAGCACCGGCUAACUACGUGCCAGCAGCCGCGGUAAAG